UGGGAAUUUGGACAAUGGGGCAACCUGAUCCAGCAAUGCCGCGUGUGUGAAGAAGGCCUUCGGGUUGUAAAGCACUUUUGUCCGGAAAGAAACGCCGUGGUUAAUACCCGUGGCGGAUGACGGUACCGGAAGAAUAAGCACCGGCUAACUACGUGCCAGCAGCCGCGGUAAUACGUAGGGUGCAAGCGUUAAUCGGAAUUACUGGGCGUAAAGCGUGCGCAGGCGGUUCCGCUAAGACAAGAUGUGAAAUCCCCGGGCUUAACCUGGGAACUGCAUUUGUGACGGGCGGGCUAGAGUAUGGCAGAGGGGGGUAGAAUUCCACGUGUAGCAGUGAAAUGCGUAGAGAUGUGGAGGAAUACCGAUGGCGAAGGCAG
RNAcentral lists this ribosomal RNA (374 nucleotides) under uncultured bacterium. RNAcentral describes it as "partial 16S ribosomal RNA". It matches the Rfam family "Bacterial small subunit ribosomal RNA", at positions 357 to 724 of the family's 1533-position model. The record is from RNAcentral.